AGUGAACGCUGGCGGUAGGCCUAACACAUGCAAGUCGAACGGCAGCACAGGAGAGCUUGCUCUCUGGGUGGCGAGUGGCGGACGGGUGAGGAAUACAUCGGAAUCUACUCUGUCGUGGGGGAUAACGUAGGGAAACUUACGCUAAUACCGCAUACGACCUACGGGUGAAAGCAGGGGACCUUCGGGCCUUGCGCGAUUGAAUGAGCCGAUGUCGGAUUAGCUAGUUGGCGGGGUAAAGGCCCACCAAGGCGACGAUCCGUAGCUGGUCUGAGAAGAUGAUCAGCCACACUGGAACUGAGACACGGUCCAGACUCCUACGGGAGGCAGCAGUGGGGAAUAUUGGACAAUGGGCGCAAGCCUGAUCCAGCCAUACCGCGUGGGUGAAGAAGGCCUUCGGGUUGUAAAGCCCUUUUGUUGGGAAAGAAAUCCAGCUGGCUAUACCCGGUUGGGAUGACGGUACCCAAAGAAUAAGCACCGGCUAACUUCGUGCCAACCGCCGCAGUAA
Molecule: ribosomal RNA, 505 nt
Filed under: uncultured bacterium
Lineage: Bacteria
Description: partial 16S ribosomal RNA
Rfam family: Bacterial small subunit ribosomal RNA
Source: RNAcentral